This 440-nucleotide ribosomal RNA is filed under the name uncultured bacterium. RNAcentral's name for it is "partial 16S ribosomal RNA". It matches the Rfam family "Bacterial small subunit ribosomal RNA", at positions 338 to 795 of the family's 1533-position model. The record is from RNAcentral.
CCUACGGGGGGCUGCAGUGGGGAAUAUUGCACAAUGGGGGAAACCCUGAUGCAGCGACGCCGCGUGAGUGAAGAAGUAUUUCGGUACGUAAAGCUCUAUCAGCAGGGAAGAAAAUGACGGUACCUGACUAAGAAGCCCCGGCUAAGUACGUGCCAGCAGCCGCGGUAAUACGUAGGGGGCAAGCGUUAUCCGGAUUUACUGGGUGUAAAGGGAGCGUAGACGGCAGCGCAAGUCUGGAGUGAAAUCCCAUGGCUUAACCAUGGAACUGCUUUGGAAACUGUGCAGCUAGAGUGCAGGAGAGGUAAGCGGAAUUCCUAGUGUAGCGGUGAAAUGCGUAGAUAUUAGGAGGAACACCAGUGGCGAAGGCGGCUUACUGGACUGUAACUGACGUUGAGGCUCGAAAGCGUGGGGAGCAAACAGGAUUAGAUACCCCGGUAGUC